ACUCAAAAGCAUCCUGACUAACUCUCUCCCAUCAAUCCACAAGCUCUGCUGUCCAAAGUCUUGCUGAACAGUUUGAUUUACAAUCCAAACCAAAGGUCAGAGUUCAAGCUGCUUCCCAUAAGACUGCUUACCUACUCACCCACGGUAAAACUUUCACCACACGUCCACUUCAGAGGAAGCUGUGCAAAAUGGCCUCAGCUCCAAAAAAUGCAAGAAUUAGCAAUGACCCGCCUCCUGAAUUGCAUAAAUUAAAGAACAAACUUGAAGAUUCUGCAAAGUCAUUCACUGCAGAGUUUGACAGGAGUGAAUCAAGCAUGAGAGAGAUUAUGAGAGAGUUUAGGAGGAUUUCUGAUGAAGUAGAUGAAAUGCAGAGAAAAACUAACACUGCGAGAAAAGUGGGAGUUGGAUUUCUUAUUGGUGGGAUCUUAGCAGCUCCGUUUACUGCAGGAGUGAGUUUAGCUGCAGCUGCCGGAGGUGGAGCCACUGUUGUUACUACCAAUGUAAUAAAAAUUCUGUCAGAGGAAGGAAAAGCAAAGAAAGUAGAAAAGUGGGGAGAAGAAUUCAUGGCCAAAGUCAGACCAAUGAUGAAGAACCUGGAAGAAAUAAAGACGAUAUGUGAAAAGCUGGAAAAGGAAUCAGCUGAAGCUCAGGCCAGAGACUCUCAGAUUGAUGUGGACGAGUUUCAGAGGACCCUCAGACAGGUGUCGCACCUGAAAGAGAUGAGUUCAGGACUUCUGGUUAUAACUGAAACCCUGCUGGAUGUUAUGGGUGGUCUGGUAAUGCUCAUCAAGGAAGUCUUCAGAGUGACUGCGACUCCUGAAGAAGAUCAAAAGUUAAGAGACGCCAUCAAAAAGGCAGCUGAUCAGAGUCAGAAGAUCAUUGAGGAGUUUCAUAAGAUGAGAACAAAACUGAAAGAGUUUACAUCAAAUAAAAGAAAAGUCACCUCCACCCAUCCCCCCCCUCCAUCACCCUGUGAGCCUUACUGUUCACACUGACUAACCAAUAAAGUUUUAUUAAUAAAGGAUCAUCAGACUUUGACCUGGACUGUAUAACGGACUUGUAGAGUUUGAGUCUGAAGCUUCCCCAUGUCCUCUGUUCAUAGACAGGAUGUUGUUGUAUAUUCAUGUAAAGCUGAUCCACAGCAGCCUGAUGUCACAGAGAGGUCGUAUGAAGAGGAUCCACAGCCUCACAAAGAGCUGCUUUCCUCCAUGUUCUCUGCUGAUCUCACCCGGGACGUCAAACUCAUUUCACAGUGUGGGCCACUUACAGCCCACUUUGAUCUUAGUGGGUUGGACCAGUGAAACCCUCCUUUCUGUCAAUGUAAAGAAGCUUAACUGAACAUUUAAUCACUGAGAUAUAUUAACAUAAGAAAAAAAGGGUAAUUUCAACAUUAUGUCUUUUUGAUUUUCGUCCUAAAAAAAGAAUUCUGCUGUAUUAAAAAAAGAUAUCCGCCAGCAUGACUCUUUGGACUUAAAAUGUA
Astatotilapia calliptera (eastern happy) is the source of this 1480-nucleotide long non-coding RNA. The record is from Ensembl. NCBI's taxonomy places the organism in Eukaryota, Metazoa, Chordata, Actinopteri, Cichliformes, Cichlidae.